Molecule: long non-coding RNA, 2197 nt
Organism: Salvelinus fontinalis (brook trout)
Lineage: Eukaryota; Metazoa; Chordata; Actinopteri; Salmoniformes; Salmonidae
Exons: 4
Source: RefSeq, a predicted model, not a curated record
ACUGUAGGUGGAUCAUAACAUGUCUACAGCAUUAACACACUACUGUAGGUGGAUCAUAACAUGUCUACAGCAUUAACACACUACUGUAGGUGGAUCAUAACAUGUCUACAGCAUUAACAGUACUGUAGGUGGAUCAUAACAUGUCUACAGCAUUAACACAUUACUGUAGGUGGAUCAUAACAUGUCUACAGCAUUAACACAUUACUGUAGGUGGAUCAUAACAUGUCUACAGCAUUAACAGUACUGUAGGUGGAUCAUAACAUGUCUACAGCAUUAACACACUACUGUAGGUGGAUCAUAACAUGUCUACAGCAUUAACACAUUACUGUAGGUGGAUCAUAACAUGUCUACAGCAUUAACACAUUACUGUAGGUGGAUCAUAACAUGUCUACAGCAUUAACAGUACUGUAGGUGGAUCAUAACAUGUCUACAGCAUUAACACACUACUGUAGGUGGAUCAUAACAUGUCUACAGCAUUAACACAUUACUGUAGGUGGAUCAUAACAUGUCUACAGCAUUAACACAUUACUGUAGGUGGAUCAUAACAUGUCUACAGCAUUAACACACUACUGUAGGUGGAUCAUAACAUGUCUACAGCAUUAACACAUUACUGUAGGUGGAUCAUAACAUGUCUACAGCAUUAACACAUUACUGUAGGUGGAUCAUAACAUGUCUACAGCAUUAACACACUACUGUAGGUGGAUCAUAACAUGUCUACAGCAUUAACACACUACUGUAGGUGGAUCAUAACAUGUCUACAGCAUUAACACAUUACUGUAGGUGGAUCAUAACAUGUCUACAGCAUUAACACAUUACUGUAGGUGGAUCAUAACAUGUCUACAGCAUUAACAGUACUGUAGGUGGAUCAUAACAUGUCUACAGCAUUAACACAUUACUGUAGGUGGAUCAUAACAUGUCUACAGCAUUAACACACUACUGUAGGUGGAUCAUAACAUGUCUACAGCAUUAACACAUUACUGUAGGUGGAUCAUAACAUGUCUACAGCAUUAACACAUUACUGUAGGUGGAUCAUAACAUGUCUACAGCAUUAACACACUACUGUAGGUGGAUCAUAACAUGUCUACAGCAUUAACACAUUACUGUAGGUGGAUCAUAACAUGUCUACAGCAUUAACACAUUACUGUAGGUGGAUCAUAACAUGUCUACAGCAUUAACACACUACUGUAGGUGGAUCAUAACAUGUCUACAGCAUUAACACACUACUGUAGGUGGAUCAUAACAUGUCUACAGCAUUAACACACUACUGUAGGUGGAUCAUAACAUGUCUACAGCAUUAACACAGUACUGUAGGUGGAUCAUAACAUGUCUACAGCAUUAACACAUUACUGUAGGUGGAUCAUAACAUGUCUACAGCAUUAACACAUUACUGUAGGUGGAUCAUAACAUGUCUACAGCAUUAACACACUACUGUAGGUGGAUCAUAACAUGUCUACAGCAUUAACACAUUACUGUAGGUGGAUCAUAACAUGUCUACAGCAUUAACAGUACUGUAGGUGGAUCAUAACAUGUCUACAGCAUUAACACACUACUGUAGGUGGAUCAUAACAUGUCUACAGCAUUAACACAUUACUGUAGGUGGAUCAUAACAUGUCUACAGCAUUAACACAUUACUGUAGGUGGAUCAUAACAUGUCUACAGCAUUAACAGUACUGUAGGUGGAUCAUAACAUGUCUACAGCAUUAACACACUACUGUAGGUGGAUCAUAACAUGUCUACAGCAUUAACACAUUACUGUAGGUGGAUCAUAACAUGUCUACAGCAUUAACACAUUACUGUAGGUGGAUCAUAACAUGUCUACAGCAUUAACACACUACUGUAGGUGGAUCAUAACAUGUCUACAGCAUUAACACACUACUGUAGGUGGAUCAUAACAUGUCUACAGCAUUAACACACUACUGUAGGUGGAUCAUAACAUGUCUACAGCAUUAACACAUUACUGUAGGUGGAUCAUAACAUGUCUACAGCAUUAACACAGUACUGUAGGUGGAUCAUAACAUGUCUACAGCAUUAACACAUUACUGUAGGUGGAUCAUAACAUGUCUACAGCAUUAACACAUUACUGUAGGUGGAUCAUAACAUGUCUACACCAAAUGAGGGCACUGCUUUAGAAAACCAGAGAAUGACUUCAGACUGAAUCUUGGCAGACUAUGUAAUAAUAAAUAGUACAAUAUGUUUA